RNAcentral lists this ribosomal RNA (301 nucleotides) under uncultured bacterium. Its description in RNAcentral is "partial 16S ribosomal RNA". It matches the Rfam family "Bacterial small subunit ribosomal RNA", at positions 509 to 807 of the family's 1533-position model. The record is from RNAcentral.
CAGCCGCCGCGGGAAUACGUAGGUGGCAAGCGUUGUCCGGAAUUAUUGGGCGUAAAGGGCUCGCAGGCGGUUUCUUAAGUCUGAUGUGAAAGCCCCCGGCUCAACCGGGGAGGGUCAUUGGAAACUGGGAAACUUGAGUGCAGAAGAGGAGAGUGGAAUUCCACGUGUAGCGGUGAAAUGCGUAGAGAUGUGGAGGAACACCAGUGGCGAAGGCGACUCUCUGGUCUGUAACUGACGCUGAGGAGCGAAAGCGUGGGGAGCAAACAGGAUUAGAUACCCCAGUAGUCCCUGUCUCUUAUAC